AGUGAACGCUGGCGGUAGGCCUAACACAUGCAAGUCGAACGGCAGCACAGUAAGAGCUUGCUCUUACGGGUGGCGAGUGGCGGACGGGUGAGGAAUACAUCGGAAUCUACUUUUUCGUGGGGGAUAACGUAGGGAAACUUACGCUAAUACCGCAUACGACCUACGGGUGAAAGCAGGGGAUCUUCGGACCUUGCGCGAUUGAAUGAGCCGAGGUCGGAUUAGCUAGUUGGCGGGGUAAAGGCCCACCAAGGCGACGAUCCGUAGCUGGUCUGAGAGGAUGAUCAGCCACACUGGAACUGAGACACGGUCCAGACUCCUACGGGAGGCAGCAGUGGGGAAUAUUGGACAAUGGGCGCAAGCCUGAUCCAGCAAUACCGCGUGGGUGAAGAAGGCCUUCGGGUUGUAAAGCCCUUUUGUUGGGAAAGAAAAGCAGCAGGUUAAUACCCCGCUGUUCUGACGGUACCCAAAGAAUAAGCACCGGCUAACUUCGUG
This 492-nucleotide ribosomal RNA is filed under the name uncultured bacterium. Its description in RNAcentral is "partial 16S ribosomal RNA". It matches the Rfam family "Bacterial small subunit ribosomal RNA", at positions 29 to 507 of the family's 1533-position model. The record is from RNAcentral.